Molecule: ribosomal RNA, 253 nt
Filed under: uncultured bacterium
Lineage: Bacteria
Description: partial 16S ribosomal RNA
Rfam family: Bacterial small subunit ribosomal RNA
Source: RNAcentral
UACGGAGGGUGCAAGCGUUAAUCGGAAUUACUGGGCGUAAAGCGUGCGCAGGCGGUUUGUUAAGUCCGUUGUGAAAGCCCCGAGCUCAACUUGGGAAUUGCAGUGGAUACUGGCAGGCUGGAGUACGGUAGAGGAAGGUGGAAUUCCCGGUGUAGCAGUGAAAUGCGUAGAUAUCGGGAGGAACACCAGUGGCGAAGGCGGCCUUCUGGACCAGUACUGACGCUCAUGCACGAAAGCGUGGGGAGCAAAAGGG